Molecule: long non-coding RNA, 992 nt
Filed under: Equus caballus (horse)
Lineage: Eukaryota; Metazoa; Chordata; Mammalia; Perissodactyla; Equidae
Description: lncRNA (ENSECAG00000052396.1)
Source: RNAcentral
UGCUCCGUGAACACCAUCUGUAGCCUCAGCAAGGGGGCUGUGUGCGAGGUGAAAAGGGGGCUGAGUCUAGAAGGACAAAGCCUGGCCUGUGGGACUGGCUCUGCCGCUUACUGGGGCCUCGUGCAAGGCACUCAGCUUCUCAGAGCUUUGUAAUACUCCCAACCUUCCCACCUCACAAGGCCUCCGGCAGGAUGUGUCACACUUUGUAAAUGGAAAAUCUUUCGGAAUAAGGGCUCCUCAGAGGAAGCGGCAAGUAUCAUCUGAGCCCGAUGGCACAAGCACAGUCCUACCACAUAACUUUCCUCAAAAAACCGUUGGGCGAGUCCACAUAGGCUUUCUACUCUGUUCCUUUGGUUUGCAUGUCUAUCCGUUUGGAAAUCCCACACUGACUUCAUCACUGCAGCUUUGUAGGAAGUCUGGGCAUCAGGACACCUACCACAGCAUGGCUUGCCAAACAGUGCCAUGUCUACACCUGGGAUCUGAACCAGCGAACCCCAAGCUGCUGAAGCAGAACGUGCACACCUAAUGCUGUGCCACCAGAGCUCCUGCUGAGCAGCGUUGCCUUCUUCCAGAGGAUCCAGCCUCGCCACCACCUUCAGGCAUAUGGCUGUGUGGGUCUCCCAGACGUCUCCUGUGUUGUAUGUGUGUCCUCUGUUGGUGUUUGAAUGUCCUUUUCGUUGUAUUUUAGAGGAGAGAGCCUGAGGGAAGAGCUCACUCCACCAUGAUGCUGACAUCACUCCCAGUUCUAUUUUUCCUGAGUCCAGAUAUGAGUCAACAUCAUAUUACUCUCACGUCCCAACUCUGCAAGGGAGUCCAGUCCUCCUUUGCCAGAUUUUGAUGGGAUCCACCCCUUUAUCAGCCACAGAGAUGCCGUCUCUGAUAUUCCCAUGUGAUUCUAACCUGUUAUGGUAUAGACAGACCUGUGACCUCCACUACGACUGUGGUGCCUUGCCUUUAUGCUCUCUCAGCUUUAUGGCCUCUAAAAAUAGCAG